This is a long non-coding RNA of Esox lucius (northern pike), 194 nucleotides long. RefSeq lists it as uncharacterized. The transcript is spliced from 3 exons. The record is from RefSeq and is a predicted model, not a curated record. Lineage: Eukaryota; Metazoa; Chordata; Actinopteri; Esociformes; Esocidae.
UCUGCCUCCCUCACUCUGUCACUGUAGUGCUCUCUUACAGUCUCUGUCUAACUUUUAGAUUAGAGUGUUGCGGAAUUAAUCCGAAAGCUACAAGAAAAACUUGAAGACAAAACACUAAAUCAACAAAGAAUGUUAAAACUGACUUUUCCAAUGAAGGGCGCAUUAUCCUGCUGAAAGAGGCCAAUGCCAUCAGG